GGACCGGCAGCACGAUGGUGCGUGCAGCGAUCUUACAAGUCGUUGACUGUGCGUUCAAGUCGCACCCGGUCCA
RNAcentral lists this transfer RNA (73 nucleotides) under Chloroflexota bacterium. RNAcentral's name for it is "Chloroflexi bacterium (groundwater metagenome) tRNA-Val". The record is from RNAcentral. Lineage: Bacteria; Bacillati; Chloroflexota.